CCCAAGUCAGAUGUCACCCCGGGAACUGGGGCUAAUCCCAGAUAGAUGAAGACCCCUGGAACGGGUCCUCGUCCAAAAGGCACCAUGGUUAUGCUCUGUGGUGUCGCUCAAGGAUGGGGCCGCGUCCGAUCAGGCUGUUGGUGAGGCAAUGGCUCACCAAACCUAUAACCGGUACGGGCCGUGGGAGCGGGAGCCCGGAGAUGGGAACUGAGACAAGGUCCCAGGCCCUACGGGGCGCAGCAGUUACGAAAACUUGUCAAUGCACGAAAGUGUGAACGGGCUACCCCGAGUGCCGUCCGCUGAGGAUGGCUUUUCUCUGCUGUAAGAAGGCGGAGGAAUAAGGCGAGGGCAAGUCUGGUGUCAGCCGCCGCGGUAAUACCAGCUCGCCGAGUGGUAGGGAUGAUUAUUGGGCCUAAAGCGUCCGUAGCCGGCCUUUCAAGUCUCUUGUUAAAUCCAACGAUUCAAUCGCUGGACUGCAGGAGAUACUGUCAGGCUGGGGGGCGGGAGAAGCCGACGGUAUUUUCGGGGUAGGGGUAAAAUCCUAUAAUCCCGGGAAGACCACCAGUGGCGUAGGCGGUCGGCUAGCACGCGCUCGACGGUGAGGGACGAAAGCUGGGGGAGCGAACCGGAUUAGAUACCCGGGUAGUCUCAGCUGUAAACGAUGCUGGCUAGGUGUUGAAGCGGCUACGAGCCGCUUCAGUGCCGCAGGGAAGCCAUUAAGCCAGCCGCCUGGGGAGUACGGCCGCAAGGCUGAAACUUAAAGGAAUUGGCGGGGGAGCAC
This 781-nucleotide ribosomal RNA is filed under the name uncultured archaeon. RNAcentral's name for it is "bacterial SSU rRNA". It matches the Rfam family "Archaeal small subunit ribosomal RNA", at positions 114 to 879 of the family's 1478-position model. The record is from RNAcentral.